Molecule: long non-coding RNA, 473 nt
Organism: Lynx canadensis (Canada lynx)
Lineage: Eukaryota; Metazoa; Chordata; Mammalia; Carnivora; Felidae
Exons: 2
Source: RefSeq, a predicted model, not a curated record
GAACCACGAGAUCAUGAGCUGAGCUGAAACCAAGAGUCAGAGACUUGACUGAGCCACCCAGGCAUCUCAACUGAUAAGCUUUCAGAUUCUACUCAGACCUCUGUUCCUCCAGCUCUUGUUCUGCUGAGGUGACAUGAUCGGAGGACCCUGCGGAAGGCCAGAGACUUUGCGCUGUGGGAGGGACCUUCUGCAAGGACAGAGAAGGGAAACGACAGAAAUGACAUGGGGACAGAAACUUGGUUGGAAGUACGGAAGUGUUCAAAUGGGGCUUUAGCAGAUUUUUCUAUGUGAUAAGGAAUAUCAGUAGUGCUUUUGCAAUGAGAUCUGCUUUUCUGACAUCUGAGAAAAUGACCUCAAGGUACAGCAAGAACAAAAUGGCCUGGACAUUUGAGUUACAACACUUUUUUACUUUCUUGUCAUUCUUUUCUGUUAUCCCUAAGCCUUCAAAUAAAAUGUUUCAGAUUUCUUAGUUA